Molecule: ribosomal RNA, 407 nt
Filed under: uncultured bacterium
Lineage: Bacteria
Description: partial 16S ribosomal RNA
Rfam family: Bacterial small subunit ribosomal RNA
Source: RNAcentral
GACGAACGCUGGCGGCGUGCCUAAUACAUGCAAGUAGGACGCAGAUGCGAAAGGGUGAGUAACGCGUAGGUCAAUGCCUAUUAGAGGGGGAUAACGACUGGAAACGAUAGCUAAUACCGCAUACAAGGAGAUGGACCUGCGUUGUAUUGGCUAGGAGGUAGGGUAAUGGCCUACCUAGGCGACGAUACAUCGCAGACUUGGGAGGGUGAUCCGCCACACUUGGACUGAGACACGGCCCAGACGCCUACGGGAGGCAGCAGGAGGGAAUCUUGGGCCAUUGGUGGAAACCUGACCGAGCAACGCCGCGUGAGUGAAGAAGGUUUUCGGAGCGUAAAGCUCUGUUGUUAAGGAAGCGGUACUUAACCAGAAAGGGACGGCUAACUACGUGCCAGCAGCCGCGGUAAUUC